Dreissena polymorpha is the source of this 867-nucleotide long non-coding RNA. RefSeq lists it as uncharacterized. The transcript has 2 exons. NCBI's taxonomy places the organism in Eukaryota, Metazoa, Mollusca, Bivalvia, Myida, Dreissenidae. The record is from RefSeq and is a predicted model, not a curated record.
CUUGUGAAACAAGGCGGUAUGGUUCUAACUGUUCCAUGGAAUGCCACUGCAACGUAUGCCAUCACGUUCACGGCUCGUGUGCUGAAUUCGGACAUAUUUGUGACGCGGGCUUAAGUAUGAACAAUGGACAGUGCAAACUAGAUACAACCUCCGACGACAGUGGCAAGUACGACGACUGUCGCUGUUGAUGCGGAAAUAGAAAUGGCAACAACAACCACUGAAUCACCAGACUCCUGGUAACUUACUGCAAAAACAUUAGUGCAUUUUGAUUUACAUAUAAUUUCACAAUACAUCUUAAGUAGGAAAACAUGAUGUCAACUGAAAAUGAUUUGUGUAAUGGAAGCUGUAUCUUGACUUUGCUACUGCAUGCUUUGCAACACACAUAAUAAUACAUACACUAAAACCAAUAUCAAGACAAAUACUUAAAGGAAUAUGUUGACAUCCUGUGCCGAAUCAAUUGUAUUUGAACUAACGAGCAUAGAAACAAUAUACCAUAUCGUAUUCACUUUUCUGUUAUUACCUAUAUUAAAGAACGAAAUGAGUGCUCUUUUGCAAGCUUUUGGAUCACAUCUUGUUUUCUUUAUUUUGGCGUAUAUUUUUCGUGUUUUGGACAUUUGAUUGUUGUAUGCGCUCUUUAAUUAUAUAUCUUGCCCCAUAUCGCACCGUAAAUAUAGCCAUGUGUGUAUAUACCUUUUUAAGAACUAUACAUAAGAGCGUUUUAAGAGUAACACUUAAAGAAUAUUCACUUUUCAAAACACUGCAGUUACGACCAGUCCAUCCUUCUUCGCAGCCUUUUGGACAACUGCCGUCUGUUGUUCCACACGCAUUCAGAGAAUCGUUAUUUGAACAGUGACACCUAUGAGUGCA